UACAGAGGGGGCGAGCGUUGUUCGGAAUUACUGGGCGUAAAGGGCGCGUAGGUGGCCUGUUAAGUCGAACGUGAAAUCCCCGGGCUCAACCCGGGAACUGCGUCCGAGACUGGCAGGCUUGAAUCCGGGAGAGGGAUGUGGAAUUCCAGGUGUAGCGGUGAAAUGCGUAGAUAUCUGGAGGAACACCGGUGGCGAAGGCGGCAUCCUGGACCGGUAUUGACGCUGAGGCGCGAAAGCCAGGGGAGCAAACGGG
This 253-nucleotide ribosomal RNA is filed under the name uncultured bacterium. Its description in RNAcentral is "partial 16S ribosomal RNA". It matches the Rfam family "Bacterial small subunit ribosomal RNA", at positions 524 to 776 of the family's 1533-position model. The record is from RNAcentral. RNAcentral also lists the same sequence under 1 other name.